RNAcentral lists this transfer RNA (73 nucleotides) under Histrio histrio (sargassumfish). RNAcentral describes it as "tRNA-Asn". Lineage: Eukaryota; Metazoa; Chordata; Actinopteri; Lophiiformes; Antennariidae. The record is from RNAcentral.
UAGGCGGAUGUCCGCUGGUUUAGACGAUUAGCUGUUAACUAAAAGUUUGUGGGAUCGAGGCCCACCCGCCUAG